GCCGGGCGUGGUGGCUUACGCCUGUAAUCCCAGCACUUCGGGAGGCCGAGGUGGGUGGAUCACCUGAGGUCAGGAGUUCAUGACCAGCCUGGCCAACAUGGUGAAACCCCAUCUCUA
Molecule: non-coding RNA, 117 nt
Filed under: Nomascus leucogenys (northern white-cheeked gibbon)
Lineage: Eukaryota; Metazoa; Chordata; Mammalia; Primates; Hylobatidae
Source: Rfam by way of RNAcentral